GGGGGCGUAAAGGUUUCGACGUGGGUUUGGAACUUGAGGUUGCGUGUCGUGUUACUCUGGGUCACGUAAAAACUGGGGAAAAAAACAAACGCAAACGAUAAUUACGCUUUAGCAGCCUAGUUGCUGCUCGUCCCGCCUAGCCCUCCUGCCGGCCGGGCCUGGACGUCAUUUAUGCAGGGAACUACUUUUUGGGUGUCUCGACUAAAAGUAGACUAAUUGGGACUGGCCGAUCAUAAAGCUUGCCACUGGGCGUUAUGUGAGGCGAGAUUUUAAAUCAGUUGGCUACACACGUAGAUACAGCGAGGAAAGGACUUGCGGACAGGGGUUCGAUUCCCCUCGUCUCCACCA
RNAcentral lists this transfer-messenger RNA (348 nucleotides) under Asaccharospora irregularis. Its description in RNAcentral is "Standard tmRNA". It matches the Rfam family "transfer-messenger RNA". Rfam says of the family: Bacterial tmRNA, also known as 10Sa RNA or SsrA, is named for its dual tRNA and mRNA-like properties. Its role is to liberate the mRNA from a stalled ribosome. The record is from RNAcentral. Lineage: Bacteria; Bacillati; Bacillota; Clostridia; Peptostreptococcales; Peptostreptococcaceae. RNAcentral also lists the same sequence under 1 other name.